UUGUGUAAAUUUGUAAUUCACUACUUAGUUUGCUAGCAACGCAGAUAUCUAGCUUGUUUGGAACAAGGGGGUUAAACGUCUUGUCAGCAGUGAAUAUUAGCCCAGAGCACUGCUGGAAAAAAAUUGAUCCCUUUCAAAGCAUCCGGUCCUUCAACCUCCCAAUGAAAAGGUUAAGAAGCACACAGAGCCGCAGUUGGAGCCGGCAGAGGCAGCCAGGCGUCUCACCCUGAACUGGCCGUAGAUGGAGAUCAUGGAGAACAGCAGCACGACGGCCAGGGGCCCCCAGAAGUCGGGGUUAUCGCGCACAACUUGUCGGUUGAACCCCAGAGAAGGCAUUGGCAUCAGAACACAUCGGAUCUUGUAGUAGAUGUCCUUCAGGUCAAUGUCAAGCUCCUCUCUUUCAAUGCAAGCAAAGAGAACAGAAGGGUCAUACUCAGAUUUAAAUUUUAAAAAACAUUGCAUGGGAGUGGGUACAAAUGCUCCAGAGUACCUAAGGCAAUUUAGCACCAUUUAGGUACAUUCUGAAUUAUAAUGUUAAAAGUUUUAUUGAUCUUAAAAGGGAGCCCAAAUCUUGUUCGAGCAGUUAAUCAGCAUUCAUUACGUUUUUCAAAUAACGGAUAUACACACAACAAGGGCUUGUUGUCUUCCGGAUCAUCUUCCUCAACUUCCAGCAGCCAGCCAUAACCACGCUGUCUCAGGAACGUGGUCGCAUAUGCAUCUUUACCGGAGUCCGCACCCAUGUUGAGUUUGACAUCGGGCGCUUCAAUUGUUCCACUAAGCUCUGUAGAGGGGGCAACGGUAAUCAUUUUAUAGCAUAGAAACAUUUCAGUGCAACUUGGCCAACAACGUAAGCCCCAGAAGAAACGUAUCAGUAAUAAUGUAAUGCCUUAAUAAAUGGGGACGGGAUACGUUUCAGGCAUUAUAGACACAACAUUCUAUGAUUUUCCGUGUAGUGUUAGCAGCCAAAUACUCAAAAAAUAGUCAUAUGGCAUAUCUGUA
Molecule: long non-coding RNA, 999 nt
Organism: Anguilla anguilla (European eel)
Lineage: Eukaryota; Metazoa; Chordata; Actinopteri; Anguilliformes; Anguillidae
Exons: 3
Source: RefSeq, a predicted model, not a curated record